UAAUACUGUGAUUAAUUAUUUGACAUGAGAUGGUGUUGAUACAUGUGUUGAUGAUGUAUGAUGAUAUGCAUAAUGUUGUGAAUGUAUAUAGUAUGCAUGUAUUUGUGAAUGGACUGUUGUAUGGCUUAGAGUGUGAGCAUAUGUCCAUUGUGGAUUGUUGUUGAUGUUGUAUUGCUAGAUGAUUAGCGUGCAUAGCAUAGCCCUUGGGGUUGUA
RNAcentral lists this long non-coding RNA (214 nucleotides) under Lathyrus oleraceus (garden pea). Its description in RNAcentral is "Pisum sativum (pea) long non-coding RNA (PSAT_LNC014263)". The record is from RNAcentral. Lineage: Eukaryota; Viridiplantae; Streptophyta; Magnoliopsida; Fabales; Fabaceae.